This 2022-nucleotide long non-coding RNA is filed under the name Homo sapiens (human). Its description in RNAcentral is "HSALNT0348315". The record is from RNAcentral. Lineage: Eukaryota; Metazoa; Chordata; Mammalia; Primates; Hominidae.
UGCCUCGGCCCAGCGCGGGCCCUCAGCCGGCCAGCCCCUCCGCCGCGGCGCCCGUUAGGCAGCUGCCCUUCAUGGCGCCCGGUUCGCCCGGCAUCGACUCCCUGCGUCCGCUCAGAGGGUGGGAGACGGCCCGUAGAAGGGCGCGGAGUCAGCGGAGGAGCGACGGCCAGGCGGGGAGUGAGGAAACUCCUGCCCCAGCACCCACGGAGCCCACUCCGGUGGUGCCCGCCCCUUGUCGGCCAGAGGGGGCGGGGCCGCGGGCGAUGGGGCGGAGCGGGCUGUGUUCUGGUCCGCUCCCGUGACGCGCUGCCCGCCAGGCUGCGGGGGUCGCGGGGCGUCCGCGUGGGCCAGCGGAGGCCCACAGCUGCGGAGGGAAACCACUGGGAGGGGAGAAGGAGCUCUAGGGAGAGCGAGGCUGCAACGAGGGGAGAGCCGGGCGACGGGCAGGGGCCCAGGCGCGCUCCCCGACUUCCCACAGGCGCGCGCAUGCCUGCGUGUCAGGGCGCGCGCUCCCCCUCUCGGACCGAGGCGACCCCAGUCCGUGAGCGGCUUGGAUCCUCGCCCGUUCCCUCCUGGUCGUUUCCGCAGUAACCUCUUAUCAGAGCGGGCAGCUGUGAGUGGCGCUCACAUCCGCCGCUGCCCUGUCGAAUGGGGGAAAGAGUUCUUGUGUUCUGAGGAGGGUUUGGCUAUGGUCCUUGACCCUAUUCUUGUCUCAGACUUGCCUCCCAGGAAUAUAGGAGGAUUGUAUGCCCUGGCCUCCCUGUGAUGGGGUUGAACUACAUGACAUGUUCUCCGAAUUAAGUGUGAGCAUAGCAUUUAAUUGUUGAUGCAAGACCUUCCAGAACUCUUUUUCUCUUUGCCAUGGCAAUCAUCAGUGUUCCAGAGAGCAUAUGCACGAUCAGCCUUGGUAUUGGAGGGAAGAUGAUGCGGAACAGAGUCCCAGUCACAUCAUGAAGGACAUGUAAAAUGCUGUAGAAGAACCUCUUCUGCAAGACCAUUCAUUCAUGCCUUGAGACAGUAUGAAUCAAGCUGACUUUUUUUUUUUCCAAGGAGUUUUUAAGAACAGCUAUGCAGAGGAGGAAUGACAAGUAGAAGAGGGGAAAAGGGAAAAUAUAAACAAAAAAAACAGUACAUUUCACACAAAAGCAGAGGAACAGAAAGUGAAAUCUGAGACAGACCAUCAAGCUUCAGACCAUCAUGCAGCAAGGGCUCUAGCCAGUUCCAGGUGAAGACCCCACCCCGGGCCAUCAAGGAGCUUCCCUGCCUCCACUAGACAGAGCAGAGUGAGAGUUCCAUGAUCCCCAAUAGGUAGGGGCUAUGCCUCAAGCCAGCAUGAAGCAGUUACAGAAAAAAAGACCAUCAGUUCCUCUGCCUCCCAUGGGGAUCACAUCUUUCAGCAGGGAGAUGAGGCAUAAAAACAAGGUCUGGAGGCAGGGAAUUCAAGGCCGAUUCACACUUCAGCUAUGACAGGAAAUAUCCUCUCCAUAGGGUAUAGGCCAAGUAAAUGACUUUGUAACUUUACUCCUCAUUUUCAUAGGUUGCACCCCAAGUAAGCAAUGGAAUCCUCUAGAGGGUAUUUCCCCAAAAUUCUGUAAUGGGGUCCUUGAGCCCCUAUGCUCGGGCCCACUCCCACACUGUGGAGUGUACUUUCAUUUUCAAUAAAUCCCUCAUUUCUUCCUUGCUCUGUUUGUGCAUUUUGUCCAAUUCUUUGUUCAAGACGCCAAGAACCUGGACACCCUCCACCGGUGACAAUGGCAGAAGGUGAAGGGGAAGCAAGCACAUCUUACCAUGGCGGAUCAGGAGAGAGAAAAGAAGGAGAGUGAGGGGAGAAGUGCCGCACACUUUCAAACAACCAGAUCUCCUGAGAACUCACCCACUAUUACGAAAACAGCAAGGGGGAAGUCUGCCCCCAUGGUUCAGUGACCUCCCACCAGACCUCUCCUCCAAUACAUGAGGAUUACAAUUCGAGAUGAGAUUUGGGUGGGAACACAGAGACAAACUGUAUCAUACAGUAAUCUCAAC